GACGAACGCUGGCGGCGUGCUUAACACAUGCAAGUCGAACGGAAAGGCCCUGCUUGCAGGGUACUCGAGUGGCGAACGGGUGAGUAACACGUGGGUGAUCUGCCCUGCACUUCGGGAUAAGCCUGGGAAACUGGGUCUAAUACCGGAUAGGAGCCAUUUUUAGUGUGAUGGUUGGAAAGUUUUUUCGGUGUAGGAUGAGCUCGCGGCCUAUCAGCUUGUUGGUGGGGUAAUGGCCUACCAAGGCGGCGACGGGUAGCCGGCCUGAGAGGGUGGACGGCCACAGUGGGACUGAGAUACGGCCCAGACUCCUACGGGAGGCAGCAGUGGGGAAUAUUGCACAAUAGGCGCAAGCCUGAUGCAGCGACGCCGCGUGGGGGAUGACGGCCUUCGGGUUGUAAACUCCUUUCGCUAGGGACGAAGCUUUUUGUGACGGUACCUAGAUAAGAAGCACCGGCUAACUACGUG
Molecule: ribosomal RNA, 465 nt
Filed under: uncultured bacterium
Lineage: Bacteria
Description: partial 16S ribosomal RNA
Rfam family: Bacterial small subunit ribosomal RNA
Source: RNAcentral